This 69-nucleotide transfer RNA is filed under the name Toxocara canis (dog roundworm). It matches the Rfam family "tRNA". From Rfam's summary of the family: Transfer RNA (tRNA) molecules are approximately 80 nucleotides in length. Their secondary structure includes four short double-helical elements and three loops (D, anti-codon, and T loops). The record is from Rfam by way of RNAcentral. Lineage: Eukaryota; Metazoa; Nematoda; Chromadorea; Rhabditida; Toxocaridae.
GCAGCAAUAGCUUAGUGGUAAAGCACCAGGUCUGUUUGCUGGGGGAACGGGGUUCGAUUCCCGGCUGCU